GCCCAUGUGGUGGAGUGGUUUGAGCAUUGGACUGUGACCUUUGAGAGACCAGGGUUCAAAUCCCUGCUCAGCCA
Non-coding RNA from Phrynosoma platyrhinos (Desert horned lizard), 74 nucleotides. The record is from the annotation of a GenBank genome assembly. Lineage: Eukaryota; Metazoa; Chordata; Lepidosauria; Squamata; Phrynosomatidae.